UUGAAUAAAUUGAUAAGAGAUUUGCUGCUUCUCAUCUCCAGUGGAGAUAGACGAUUUGGUGACAUUCUCUGGUGGGCUACAGGAGGUGGGGGGAACAUCGUGAGGAAGAGAUCCCUUAGAUGUCCUUUCCACCUUUUUGUUGAGUUCUGGUAGAGAAAAAACACUGGUUAGGCAAGGUGGCCCAUCACCACCUUGUGGGUUUGUCCUUCUAAGGCUCCCUUGAACUUAACCUCUGCUUGGCGGAGACCCGAGGAUCUCCUGGUCGACGCCCAGAAGAUGCUCUGUGUUGAACCCGACCUUCCCACGGCCCAAACAGGCAAACAAAUGGCGUCCCUUGGAAAGAAUCAGUGUAGCCUGGCUAGAAGCCUGGCUGGAAGCUCGGCAGCGGGCUAGGAGUAGGGAGUACGACGGGGAUAAGUCUAGCGGCUGCACCCAAGAAAAUAGGGGUGUCCACUGCACCUGCAAACCCCACGCGCGCCUCGGCUUGGCCCCCUGCACCCCAGCCGGCUGCCCACCCUGGAGAGGCUGCCUGGGGGGCAGCAGUGUGUGUGUGUGUGUGUGUGUGUGUGUGUGUGUGUGCGUGUGUGUGUGUGUGUGUGUGUGUGUGUGUGGAGGUGGGGGGGGGGUGUCGGCGGCCGCUACAAGGAGGCGGCGAGGAGGCUGGGGAGGGGGGCGCGGCGGGCGGUGGCGCGGUCCAGGGGGAGGCGGGCGGAGGGAAGGCGCUGCCGCCGCCGCCUCACCCGCGGCGACACAGACGCCGGGAGCGGCCGAGGCGAGUGACUUCUUCUGACUUGAGCUUGCAGUGUGCUUUGAGAGAUCCUCUACCAGAUCACCUCCAGCUUUGGUCCCCUGGCACCACCCAUUAGCGACAGUCAUAAGGUAAGUGUACAUUUUAAACUCUGUUUCAAUCAGUUGUUGAUGGAAAUAUCAGUUUUGUUCAGUGGUUUCCACCAGAAACAGUUUCAUUCAAUGAAAGUAGCUGUUAUAUAGAUAAUAGUAUGUGUAUGUGUGUGUAUAUAUAUAUAUAUAUAUAUAUCUCCUGUGGGUUAUUUACACUUGCUUUCUCAUGUGUCCUCUUUCCUCCCCCCACGUCCAUCUUUUUUUAAAAAAUAAACCUCAGAAAAACUAGGUAAGAUAGGCUGUUUCAGUAUGCUUCUGUGAGCAAAUCAGUGAAACGUGUCCAGUGGCAUAGGGAACAGACAGGGCUUUGAUACUUCUCAGGUGCUGUGCUCUUCUCCUGGUCUCAUCCCCUUGACUUGGAUGCCAGCAAUAGGUUUGGUUUUUAAAGGCCUGUCCACUCUGACACUAGAGAAAACCUCAGGGGUCCUAUUUCUGGCAAGCUGCUUAUUUAUUCAUCUUGCUACUUUAACUCAGCAUCUGUGUUUUGUUUUGUUUUCAGUAAAAUUUAAAGCUCUGAAACAGAGUUAGCUAUGUAUUGGGUUGGCCAAAAAGUUUUUGGAAAAAGCCAAACAAAGUUUUUGGCCAACCCAAUAUAUUUUAACAUGUAAAACCCUGUGAAUUCACUUGACUUAAUUCCACAUCUUAACAACAAAAAAGCCCAAAAUACCACUUCUCAAAUUGUAAUGUGCUUAUAUGUCAACAAAGUAACUAUGAGAUAAAGGAAAAUAUACAAAAACCAUUUCAUAGAUUUUUGUUUCAGUUUUAAAAAGUCAUGCUUGGAAAAAUUGCAUUAUAUUAAGUCAAAUUAUCUUUUGUGCUGUGCUUCGUCACUCAGUCCUGUCCAAUUCUUUGUGACCCCAUAGACUGUAGCCCGCCAGGCUCCUCUGUCCAUGGGGAGUAUCCAGACAAGAGUACAGGAGUGGGUAGCCAUUCCCUUCUCCAGGGGAUCUUCCCAAUUCAGGGAUAGAACCCAUGUCUGCUGCAUUGCAUGCGGAUUCUUUACCAUCUGAGCCACCAGGGAAUCCCAUCUUUUAUAUAAUGAUUUGUAUCAUUAAAAUGUACAGGUUAUUAUGGGUAAGAAAAAAAUUCAGAAUCUGUCUUAGAUCAGAAUUCUUAUAUUGCCAGAACUAAAAAUAGCAUAAUAACUAUUGUUUGUGGGAUAUCCAGAGGUUCAGUAUUUCCUUACCAGUGAAAUAUAUUGCUUCUAUCUAUGUUCAAAGGGGCAAAUCUAUUAAUUCUUUGGUAAAGUUCAUAGUUCUGCUCUAACUGUAUUCAGUUCCCUGGUAAAUGCUUGGAGGAAUAUGAGUCCUUGGUUUAUUGACUGAGAUACCUUCUGAGAUGAUUAAUAUACCAUCAAAUACAUAGAAGUCGGUGAAAUAUUACAUGUUUUCCUAACAUGUCCAUUGGAACAUCUUUUCUUCUUGAAUUACUCCAAUAUUUUUUUUUAAUAUAAGGAGGAUUUUUUAAACCCCCAAAUUGUGCAUUUCUUAGUAUUUAUUUCUAAUGAAAGUAACGUUCUGAUAUUUAAGAAUUAAAUGAUAUGAGUUGGGAUAUUUUUUUCUUUUUUCUUUCUUUUUACACAUCUCCCAAGAGGGCUUUGACCCUGUUGAUCAUUUUGAAACUGUAGUAGUAGGCUAAUUAGAUUGUUUGGUACUCACAGAGGUUCUAAAAUCCACUUUUUCUCAAAGAGAGGUUAUAAAUGUGAGAAACAAAAUCUGAGAGACCACCCCUCUCUUGUGUCCAUUGGCGAUGGGGUUCACUAGACCACAUACCACCACCCCCCUUACUCCAAGCCUUCUCAAUCAGGCUCUUUCUGCUACAAUCUCCUCCAGGCUAAUCAACACUUUUGAUCAUUCCUUUCUUCUGAACUAUGAAUCUAACCAGGACACUAUUGGUUAGAUAGUUGGGACAAUAGUCUGAAUUGUUGUCUGCUUAUUGUAAUUUCUUUU
Molecule: long non-coding RNA, 2849 nt
Organism: Bos grunniens (domestic yak)
Lineage: Eukaryota; Metazoa; Chordata; Mammalia; Artiodactyla; Bovidae
Source: Ensembl